RNAcentral lists this transfer RNA (73 nucleotides) under Ictidomys tridecemlineatus (thirteen-lined ground squirrel). Its description in RNAcentral is "Spermophilus tridecemlineatus (thirteen-lined ground squirrel) tRNA". It matches the Rfam family "tRNA". From Rfam's summary of the family: Transfer RNA (tRNA) molecules are approximately 80 nucleotides in length. Their secondary structure includes four short double-helical elements and three loops (D, anti-codon, and T loops). Further hydrogen bonds mediate the characteristic L-shaped molecular structure. tRNAs have two regions of fundamental functional importance: the anti-codon, which is responsible for specific mRNA codon recognition, and the 3' end, to which the tRNAs corresponding amino acid is attached (by aminoacyl-tRNA synthetases). tRNAs cope with the degeneracy of the genetic code in two manners: having more than one tRNA (with a specific anti-codon) for a particular amino acid; and 'wobble' base-pairing, i.e. permitting non-standard base-pairing at the 3rd anti-codon position. The record is from Rfam by way of RNAcentral. Lineage: Eukaryota; Metazoa; Chordata; Mammalia; Rodentia; Sciuridae.
GGGGAGAUAGCUCAGUUGGGAGAGUGCUUGCCUUGCAUGCACAAGGCCCUGGGUUCAAUCUCCAGUCCUACCA